Molecule: ribosomal RNA, 468 nt
Filed under: uncultured bacterium
Lineage: Bacteria
Description: partial 16S ribosomal RNA
Rfam family: Bacterial small subunit ribosomal RNA
Source: RNAcentral
GACGAACGCUGGCGGCGUGCUUAACACAUGCAAGUCGAACGGAAAGGCCCUGGUUUUGUGGGGUGCUCGAGUGGCGAACGGGUGAGUAACACGUGAGUAACCUGCCCUUGACUUUGGGAUAACUUCAGGAAACUGGGGCUAAUACCGGAUAGGAGCUCCUGCUGCAUGGUGGGUGUUGGAAAGUUUCGGCGGUUGGGGAUGGACUCGCGGCUUAUCAGCUUGUUGGUGGGGUAGUGGCUUACCAAGGCUUUGACGGGUAGCCGGCCUGAGAGGGUGACCGGCCACAUUGGGACUGAGAUACGGCCCAGACUCCUACGGGAGGCAGCAGUGGGGAAUAUUGCACAAUGGGCGGAAGCCUGAUGCAGCAACGCCGCGUGCGGGGUGACGGCCUUCGGGUUGUAAGCCGCUUUCGCCUGUGACGAAGCGUGAGUGACGGUAAUGGGUAAAGAAGCACCGGCUAACUACGUG